UCAGAAAAGAUCUCUCUCUUUAAAUCUCCAAAAUUUAUAUACUUUAUAUAUUAUUUUCUGA
This 61-nucleotide transfer RNA is filed under the name Haemaphysalis flava. RNAcentral describes it as "tRNA-Pro". Lineage: Eukaryota; Metazoa; Arthropoda; Arachnida; Ixodida; Ixodidae. The record is from RNAcentral.